CUAUCUGCAGUCGAGCGGACAGAAGGGAGCUUGAUCCCGGAUGUUAGCGGCGGACGGGUGAGUAACACGUGGGUAACCUGCCUGUAAGACUGGGAUAACUCCGGGAAACCGGAGCUAAUACCGGAUAGUUCCUUGAACCGCAUGGUUCAAGGAUGAAAGACGGUUUCGGCUGUCACUUACAGAUGGACCCGCGGCGCAUUAGCUAGUUGGUGGGGUAAUGGCUCACCAAGGCGACGAUGCGUAGCCGACCUGAGAGGGUGAUCGGCCACACUGGGACUGAGACACGGCCCAGACUCCUACGGGAGGCAGCAGUAGGGAAUCUUCCGCAAUGGACGAAAGUCUGACGGAGCAACGCCGCGUGAGUGGUGAAGGUUUUCGGAUCGUAAAGCUCUGUUGUUAGGGAAGAACAAGUGCGAGAGUAACUGCUCGCACCUUGACGGUACCUAACCAGAAAGCCACGGCUAACUACGUGCCAGCAGCCGCGGUAAUACGUAGGUGGCAAGCGUUGUCCGGAAUUAUUGGGCGUAAAGGGCUCGCAGGCGGUUUCUUAAGUCUGAUGUGAAAGCCCCCGGCUCAACCGGGGAGGGUCAUUGGAAACUGGGAAACUUGAGUGCAGAAGAGGAGAGUGGAAUUCCACGUGCAGCGGUGAAAUGCGUAGAGAUGUGGAGGAACACCAGUGGCGAAGGCGACUCUCUGGUCUGUAACUGACGCUGAGGAGCGAAAGCGUGGGGAGCGAACAGGAUUAGAUACCCUGGUAGUCCACGCCGUAAACGAUGAGUGCUAAGUGUUAGGGGGUUUCCGCCCCUUAGUGCUGCAGCUAACGCAUUAAGCACUCCGCCUGGGGAGUACGG
RNAcentral lists this ribosomal RNA (851 nucleotides) under uncultured bacterium. RNAcentral's name for it is "bacterial SSU rRNA". It matches the Rfam family "Bacterial small subunit ribosomal RNA", at positions 51 to 885 of the family's 1533-position model. The record is from RNAcentral.